Molecule: long non-coding RNA, 1439 nt
Organism: Salvelinus namaycush (lake trout)
Lineage: Eukaryota; Metazoa; Chordata; Actinopteri; Salmoniformes; Salmonidae
Exons: 4
Source: RefSeq, a predicted model, not a curated record
AUGUGUGUGUGUGCGCAGUAUGUUCAGAUUCGUAUGUGUCAUUUCCAUUGUUAUGACCAGCUGAUUGUGUGUUUAGAGUUAGAUUUAUGAUUUAACUUUGAACUAGAACCAAGGAGAUAAAGUGUGUGUGUCUGUUUGUUUGUUUGUUUCUUGUAAAUACUCCUAAUUUUAGAGUGGCAGUUUGUUUCCCAACAUUUCUCCCUCUCUCUCUGCUGCAGGUUUCAGUCCUGCCAUUGAGGACAGUCCCAAGAGAAGACCUACCCAAGAAAGAGUGGUUGGAGGUGAUGUGGGGGAGGAUUAUUCAGAAGCCUGGCGUUCCAGCUACACCCCACAGCCCUGAAGGCCAGAGGUACAUUAUUCACCAACAGGAACCUUCCACAACCUGCCCAGGCUUGCCCAACAAGACACAGGUCGUGUGUGUAGAGAGAACACAUUUGACCAGGUGGAGUCAGGCUUCUACUUCAUCGCCCUGGACUACUACACAACAUAUGUGUUGCUCCACCUUCCCCAGUGCCCUACUGUUGUUUUCUUUUUAACAAUGUCUAUGGGUCGUAAAAUGAUUUUAUGUUGGGACUUCGACUCCACACUAAAUGUAAUUCCAUGUCCUGUAUUGUUCUGCACUCUCUAAAGAUUAUGCUAAUGCCCCACUGUAAGAACCUGGAGAUCUUUACUGGUUCUGAGGGAGGUGACAUGGCCACAAACAGUGCCUGAGGCACUUUCCAGCGCUACCGCUGUCUGGACAACAGCCAGAGGGUGGUCAGCUCUGCUGCACCUGAGAGCUAAAGCUCCAUUAUUACAGAUAGUCCAGUCUGCUGAGACGGUUAUUGGCUGCCACCUGCCCUCCAUCAAGGUCCUGCACGACUCCAGGGAAAGGAAGCGUGGAGUAAAGAUCAUCGCCAAACCUUCCCACCUCCACUUCCAGAGACUCUCCUCUGGCAAACGGUUCAGGUCAAUCACGACCAAAACCUCCCACCACCUGAACAGUUUCUUCCCCCGUGCUGUGGGCCUCACUAACCGGUCACCUAGUCCAUGAUGAUCCUCUCAUCCAUGGACUUCUCACUCUGCACUAUUCAUUCAGUGACUAUGCACCCUGCACUAUCAUUCCAGAACUUCACAUUGCUCUUGGUACUCUGAACAUUUCUUACAUGCAUAAUUUAUAAUGUAGCAUAUAGUGUUCAUAGUGUACAUACAGUAUGUGGAUCUGUGGAAAUUCUGCAUCUAUAUAUAUUUUGUUCUGUAUAUUCUGUUUAUUGUGGCAGCACCAUUUCACAGUCAAAUUCCUCUACAUGCAAAUGUAUUUGGCGAACAAAGCUAUUCUGACAUGUUAACCUGAGUUUAGCUGGUUUAUCAUGUCAGUUGGAGUUUACAUUAUAAUAUUUGGGACUGGUUAUGUACUGUAGCAGGUAACAGAUUAUACCCUUUGUCAUCAUAUAAUAAAA